Molecule: ribosomal RNA, 1242 nt
Filed under: metagenome
Description: bacterial LSU rRNA
Rfam family: Bacterial large subunit ribosomal RNA
Source: RNAcentral
CGAAUACGAGACGCUACGGCGUCGAAGUAGUGUAUGUCAUACUUCCAAGAAAAGCUUGCACUGUCAUAAAUAAAAAUGCCUGUACCAUAACCGACACAGGUGGGUAGGUAGAGUAUACUAAGGGGCGCGAGAUAACUCUCUCUAAGGAACUCGGCAAAAUAACUCCGUAACUUCGGGAGGAGGAGUGCCUUAUUUAAAUAAGGUUGCAAUAACAAGAUCCAAGCAACUGUUUACCAAAAACACAGGUCUCCGCUAAGUCGUAAGACGAUGUAUGGGGGCUGACGCCUGCCCAGUGCCAGAAGGUUAAAGAAGUUGGUUAGCAUCUGCGAAGCUGGUAACUGAAGCCCUGGUGAACGGCGGCCGUAACAAUAACGGUCCUAAGGUAGCGAAAUUCCUUGUCGGGUAAGUUCCGACCCGCACGAAUGCGUAAUGAUUUGGAUACUGUCUCGGAGAGGGGCUCGGUGAAAUAGACUUGUCUGUGAAGAUGCGGACUACCUGCACCUGGACAGAAAGACCCUAUGAAGCUUUACUGUAACUUGAAAUUGAAAUUGGACUUUAUUCGCGCAGUAUAGGUGGGAGGCGUUGAAAAUACUCUUGCGGGAGUAUUGGAGCUAUCAGUGAGAUACCACUCUUAUAAUGUUAGAUUUCUAACUUUGAACCAUUAUCUGGUCAAAGAACAGUUUCAGGCGGGCAGUUUGACUGGGGCGGUCGCCUCCCAAACGGUAACGGAGGCGUACAAAGGUUUCCUCUGAACGGAUAGAAAUCGUAUCUAGAGUAUAAAGGCAUAAGGAAGCUUGACUGUGAGACCUACAAGUCGAGCAGGGACGAAAGUCGGUCUUAGUGAUCUGACGGUACUGAGUGGAAAGGCCGUCACUCAACGGAUAAAAGUUACUCUAGGAUAACAGGCUGAUCUCCCCCAAGAGUUCACAUCGACGGGGAGGUUUGGCACCUCGAUGUCGGCUCAUCGCAUCCUGGGGCGGUAGUACGUCCCAAGGGUUGGGCUGUUCGCCCAUGAAAGCGGUACGCGAGCUGGGUUCAGAACGUCGUGAGACAGUUCGGUCCAUAUCCGGUGUAGGCGUUAGAAUAUUGAGAGGAGCCUUCUCUAGUACGAGAGGACCGAGAAGGACAUACCUCUGGUGUACCAGUUAUCGUGCCAACGGUAAACGCUGGGUAGCUAUGUAUGGAGUGGAUAACCGCUGAAAGCAUCUAAGUGGGAAGCCCACCUCAAGAUAAGUAUUCUCA